This 1334-nucleotide long non-coding RNA is filed under the name Elaeis guineensis (African oil palm). Its description in RNAcentral is "long non-coding RNA (EGUI_LNC031818)". Lineage: Eukaryota; Viridiplantae; Streptophyta; Magnoliopsida; Arecales; Arecaceae. The record is from RNAcentral.
GCUCUACUCUACCUUCGAUCUCCUAUCGGUGCUUUACAGGAUCUGUUUUGCCCGCUGCGCACAGUCGGAGUUCUGUCGGACUCCUCCCGAUGGUGUAUGAGCCUCCCUUGCAUUGAUACCUUCGCUCACGGCUCUCUGCCACAUCUCUCUGCGUGUGUUCUCAAUUCUGUUCACCCACAAGACCUCUUAAAGGCCCUAAAAUUCAGCUCAUAUUGGAAUCAGACUCUGGAUUGAACUCUUAUAGCUUCUCUGUCAUCCAAUCAAGCCUCAGAUCGAAAACUAGUCAUUGGAUCAUGCCCCAUUGUGACCCUGCUCAUCUCUGAUCUCCUCUGAUCUAUCCGAUCAUGACUGUGAGCACCCACAGCCAUAUGAUCAUGCAUCCGAUCCAUGAAAUAGCUUGUGAGCCAUGAGAAACCAUCUUGAAACAUCGUCGGUCCAUUAUGGACUGCAUGAAACUAGGGGUGAAACGGCUAUCGGUCCAUGCACUGCAUGUGUACCAUAUGAAGAUGGGCAGCACCCCACACACACCUAUUGGGUCGGCCCGCAUAUCCUACCCUUGCACUCCUAUGCACUGGGCCACAUGCCCAGCAUGGCUGGCCCGCAUGCCUUAUGGACCCAUCUGCCAUCCGUGGGCCCUACCAGCCCACCUCCUCGCCUUCUUUCAUGCGUAUCUUCUCUAUUUAGAUUCUAUUUGAGCUGUUCUUAGACUCGUUAGACUCCGUUCGUUGUUCUGGACCUUGUUGUGUUCUCCUUGUGGAUCAAAUCUUGAGACGUAUUUCCUAACAAACUUGCAUAUGAAAAUGUUUAUUGGCUCGUUGUAGGUUGGCUCUGCACAUAGUUAUCCUAAUCAUCCCUUAGGUUAGCGCAUUUAAGAGUUGAGAAAAUAGACCAUCCACAGUAGGUCAUAGGGGCCUUGCUCCUUGCCGACAGGUCGUAAGGGCCUUGCCCCCUAUUCUUAGCCACACUUGGCUGAAGCCAGAGGCUUGAACUCUUCCAAGGGAACAUCCAAAGGCUUGGGGGAUCUGAGGGCUCAUCUUUCAAGCUACUAAGAUCCGAAGAUUGCAUUGUUGUCAACAAAAGUGAUGGAGUCGGACGUUAUAAGUUGCUAUAGGCUUUAGUUGUCUUGAGCUUGUCAAAUUCCCUUCAUAAAGGAAUCUAGUCAACUUUGCAAUUAUCUAGAGGCUGUCAUCUCCAUCAAGUCCAUCCUAGUCUAGAGAGAUUGACUAGCUCAUCCAGUCUUCAGAAUGAGGUAGGUUCGUUCACCUGGGCUAUCCUUAUCUAAAGAGGUUGGUUAGUUCACUAGAUCUUUGGUGCAAGGGCUGCUACCUUCACCC